AGCCUGGGAACCUCCAUAUGCCACAGGAGAGGCCCAAGAAAUGGCAAAAAGACAAAAAAUUUUCUUUCAUAGCUCUCUCUCCAUUUGGGUUUAUGAGCUCCUGGGGGGCAGGUGUUAGAGGUCUGUGAACCCGCCCCUCUUCAGCACUCAGCUGAUGUCAACUGCAAGGGUAGAUGCUUCACCUUUUUCUGCGCAUUACCAAUUUCAUGUAGCUGAGAAAGGAAAAUACUGAGGUCAAAGUGACCAGCUUUCUAAUGGGAAUCUACAAGGUGUCAGAAAGUGCUCAGGGGGCUUCCGCAUGCAUUAUCUGCCCUCUUUAAUUUCAUAACACAAUUCUGAGGAAACAGACUCAAAGAGCCCAGGCAAAUACUUGUGGCUCAUCAGCAGGUUCAUGGUACAGCCCAGAUCCAUUACAUGAGCCCACAUUUGAGCACAACAAUGAAAGGACUGUGCUUUUCCUCCCUUCCUCCUAGAUCUCCAGCUUCCAAAGGGGAGCAGGACAACCCACAGGACGGUGGAAACCUCAAGAGCAUCCUUUCAGCCGGAACACCUGCACCAAGGCAGUGGUCUGGAUGCUUGGGGCCCCAGCCACUAGAGGGCACUGCACACCCAGGGAGAGACAGCCGUGGGCAUCCCCUCCUGGGUUCUUCCAUCAGAUUGCAUAGCGUCGUGGAAGCCUCCCUCAUCACUCUCGACUGGGAUGACUCAGCUGUCCCCAGAAGGCAGCCCCACGAACAUCCACCCCUGCUUAUGUUGUUCUGUCUCUGAAGGUCAAAGACUAGACAUCUGGACAGGGUCUACUGCAGCCCCUGGCCCUGUGACAGACUUGGCCAACUCAGGCCAAGACUAUCGACCGAUCUCAUCAUCGUCACAGACUAACAUAAACAAGAGCUAAUGUUUACCUUCCCAACAACAAUCAUAAAGGAUGAUUAUUACCCUCCCUCUUUUAGAGAAGGGGAAACGGGACUCAAGAGUCAAGCCUUACUGUGAAUCAAAGCCAGGGCUUGAAGUGAAGUCUCUCUGGUGCUAGUCUGUGGUCUUUGUAAUGAAUGGAGCUGUCUUUUGGUCCUCAGUUCACCAUCUGGAGUUAAUGAAAGUUGAGAUUUUUAUUCAUUUUCUCAUUCACUCAAAUUACUUGCUUCGUUGAGGUGUGUCUGGUAUGCACAAAAUUGCAUCCAUCCAGUGUAUACACCUUUGUGUUUGUGAUUGCACCUGGGAUAGCAUCAGUGUAACCAGGGUGCUGACGUGUUCAUCACCUCCAAAGAUGCCCUUGUGUCCUUUUGUGGGGUUUUGUUUUGGUGGGAACACGUAAUAUGAGACCUGUUCUCCUAACAUAUUUUAAAGUAGACAUUCUUUAAAGUGCACAUGCUUUUAACCUGUAGUUAUUGUUGACUAAAGGUACUAUAUUGUAUAGCAAAUCUCUAGAACUCACUGUGUGUAGCAGAAAGUUUGUACGCAUCGAAAAGCAACCCCCACUAUCCUAUCUCACAGUCCUCUCCUUUGCAUUUCUGUGGCAUCAAUUUUAAUGUCUCAUCUUUCAUUUCUAAUUUUAUUUAUGGGAACCUUUUUUGCUUAAUCUUAAGAAACCAGCUCUUAUUUUCAUUGAUCUUUUCUAUUCUAGGCUUUAUUUCAUUUAUAUCUGCUCUGAUCUUAUUUCACCCCCUCUGAUAACCUUGGGUUUUGUUUGUUCUUUUUCCAGUUCCUUGAGGUAUAAAGUCAGGUUGGGUUGAGA
Sus scrofa (pig) is the source of this 1732-nucleotide non-coding RNA. NCBI's taxonomy places the organism in Eukaryota, Metazoa, Chordata, Mammalia, Artiodactyla, Suidae. The record is from RefSeq and is a predicted model, not a curated record.